UACGGGGGGGGCAAGCGUUGUUCGGAAUUACUGGGCGUAAAGCGCACGUAGGCGGCUUUGUAAGUUAGAGGUGAAAGCCCGGGGCUCAACCCCGGAAUUGCCUUUAAGACUGCAUCGCUAGAAUUGUGGAGAGGUAAGUGGAAUUCCGAGUGUAGAGGUGAAAUUCGUAGAUAUUCGGAAGAACACCAGUGGCGAAGGCGACUUACUGGACACAUAUUGACGCUGAGGUGCGAAGGCGUGGGGAGCAAACAGG
This 253-nucleotide ribosomal RNA is filed under the name uncultured bacterium. RNAcentral's name for it is "partial 16S ribosomal RNA". It matches the Rfam family "Bacterial small subunit ribosomal RNA", at positions 524 to 776 of the family's 1533-position model. The record is from RNAcentral.